Molecule: non-coding RNA, 29 nt
Filed under: Rattus norvegicus (Norway rat)
Lineage: Eukaryota; Metazoa; Chordata; Mammalia; Rodentia; Muridae
Source: RNAcentral
UAAGAAAAUUAUACAGGGUCCCAAAGAGC